CAGGAUUGAUCAAAUAAGUUAUUUGAAGUUGACUCAACAACACGGACUCGUGACCAAAUCAAACCCCCGAAGCAAGCCUGAAAAUUACGAUAAUGAGCUUGGGGUUGCCAUUCAGCAACAAAACAAAAGUUAGCGAAAGCUAUUAGCUCUUUUAGUGAAGAAAGGAUGAUAGAAGGCGACAUGUGUGCUCAGGCAUAAUCUACUCGUGAUGUAAUUUCGCUAUUUGCAAGCACGUAAAGCAUCGAUAGAUUUAUCUUUGUUGAACAAAAAUGUCUAAAUUCAACUUCCAUUUUUCAGUACAGGAAUCGGAGUUGCUUCUGCUCAACAUCAAAGGGGAAGAACACACCAUCCUUUUCCUGCUUACCUUCCAAAAAUCUUGUAUGUCCUGAGCUGAGGGCAAUUCAAAUGUACACAAAUCAUCAGCCUCCAUCGUUCUUAUUUCAAGUUCUACAUAUUAGGCAUCUUUUGCAGGCUCUUCUAAUAGGAUAUUUGAGAGCUUCUUCUCUAAACAAGCAGUAGAAGAUCCAGAUUCCACAUUAUCAGCAAUAACGUCCCUCUUCACUAACGAGAUCGGUUGCGUCAGUUAGCAUUGAAAUGAGAACCAUCAGUGUCCUCAAUGCAAGAAAUGGUGUGGGGUAAAUCUCCUGAUGCGCCAGACUUACAUAGAGACUGCAAUAAUCUCGACAAGAUAGAGACUGUAACCUCUGAUGCCAUACCACAACGGCCAGCUUCAUCCAACAGCUUCUCUAGUCCAUCCUGACUGAUUUUUUCACUAUUUUUCUCAAAAGAUCUGUCCACUGCCUUUCACUAAUUUGAAAUGAGGCAAGAGCCAUGGUGCUAAAAGAGUGACAGCCUUCUCAUAAUUCUAUUGAGCUGUGGCUUGAAAUCCCAUUUCAGUAAAGAUACUGGAUGAGGGAUUUCUCCAGCUUCCAAAAUCUUAUCGAAUGCAUGCUCCAGAAGAUGACUCUGUAUGAAGAAAACAAAAGGUCAAGAGACUCAAAUUCUACUCAUUGAGCUCAUCUGCAAGUCAUCUGGUAUAGUGGUAGUGGCACUACGAUCAAAUCCUUUGAUGAUCCCAAUGUUUGGGACACAAUGGGCUUUCGUGUGUUCAAAGAUAGGUAUGCAAUCAUCAAUAUGCCUACCAUUAGUAGAGGGACAUGUCUCAGGACAGAAAAGACUGUAACAGUGAAAAUAGAGAUGAUAUGUCUCCUCCUUAUUUUGAAAGUACAAAAUUCUCUCCUAAACUA
Long non-coding RNA from Populus euphratica (Euphrates poplar), 1247 nucleotides. RefSeq lists it as uncharacterized. The record is from RefSeq and is a predicted model, not a curated record. Lineage: Eukaryota; Viridiplantae; Streptophyta; Magnoliopsida; Malpighiales; Salicaceae. The transcript has 2 exons.